This 473-nucleotide ribosomal RNA is filed under the name uncultured bacterium. RNAcentral describes it as "bacterial SSU rRNA". It matches the Rfam family "Bacterial small subunit ribosomal RNA", at positions 30 to 521 of the family's 1533-position model. The record is from RNAcentral.
AUUGAACGCUGGCGGCAUGCCUUACACAUGCAAGUCGAACGGCAGCACGGGAGCAAUCCUGGUGGCGAGUGGCGAACGGGUGAGUAAUAUAUCGGAACGUGCCCAGUCGUGGGGAUAACGUAGCGAAAGCUACGCUAAUACCGCAUACGAUCUAUGGAUGAAAGCGGGGGAUCGCAAGACCUCGCGCGAUUGGAGCGGCCGAUAUCAGAUUAGGUAGUUGGUGAGGUAAAGGCUCACCAAGCCGACGAUCUGUAGCUGGUCUGAGAGGACGACCAGCCACACUGGGACUGAGACACGGCCCAGACUCCUACGGGAGGCAGCAGUGGGGAAUAUUGGACAAUGGGCGAAAGCCUGAUCCAGCAAUGCCGCGUGAGUGAUGAAGGCCUUAGGGUUGUAAAGCUCUUUUACCCGGGAUGAUAAUGACAGUACCGGGAGAAUAAGACUCCGGCUAACUCCGUGCCAGCAGCCGCGGU